GAUCCUGGCUCAGGAUGAACGCUGGCGGCGUGCUUAACACAUGCAAGUCGAGCGGAAGCAAUUUAAGUGAAGUUUUUCGGAUGGAUCUUAAAUUGACUGAGCGGCGGACGGGUGAGUAACGCGUGGAUAACCUGCCUCACACAGGGGGGAUAACAGUUAGAAAAUGACUGCUAAUACCGCAUAAGCGCACAGUACCGCAUGGUACAGUGUGAAAAACUCCGGUGGUGUGAGAUGGAUCCG
RNAcentral lists this ribosomal RNA (240 nucleotides) under uncultured bacterium. RNAcentral describes it as "partial 16S ribosomal RNA". It matches the Rfam family "Bacterial small subunit ribosomal RNA", at positions 15 to 233 of the family's 1533-position model. The record is from RNAcentral.